AGUGAACGCUGGCGGUAGGCCUAACACAUGCAAGUCGAACGGCAGCACAGAAAUAGCUUUCUCUUACGGGUGGCGAGUGGCGGGUGGGGUAGGAAUACAUCCGCAUCUACUUUUUCUUGGGGGAUAACGUCGGAACACAUACGCUAAUACCGCAACCGAGCUACGGGUGAAAGCAGGAGAUCUUCGGACCUUGCGCGAGUGAAUGAGCCGAUGUCGGAUUAGCUAGGUGGCGGGGUAAAGGCCCACCAAGGCGACGAUCCGUAGCUGGUCUGAGAGGAUGAUCAGCCACACUGGAACUGAGACACGGUCCAGACUCCUACGGGAGGCAGCAGUGGGGAAUAUUGGACAAUGGGCGCAAGCCUGAUCCAGCCAUCCCGCGUGUGUGAAGAAGGCCUUCGGGUUGUAAAGCACUUUUGUUGGGAAAGAAAAGCAGCAGGUUAAUACCCCGCUGUUCUGACGGUACCCAAAGAAUAAGCACCGGCUAACUUCGUG
Molecule: ribosomal RNA, 492 nt
Filed under: uncultured bacterium
Lineage: Bacteria
Description: partial 16S ribosomal RNA
Rfam family: Bacterial small subunit ribosomal RNA
Source: RNAcentral